This 492-nucleotide ribosomal RNA is filed under the name uncultured bacterium. RNAcentral describes it as "partial 16S ribosomal RNA". It matches the Rfam family "Bacterial small subunit ribosomal RNA", at positions 29 to 507 of the family's 1533-position model. The record is from RNAcentral.
AGUGAACGCUGGCGGUAGGCCUAACACAUGCAAGUCGAACGGCAGCACAGUAAGAGCUUGCUCUUACGGGUGGCGAGUGGCGGACGGGUGAGGAAUACAUCGGAAUCUACUUUUUCGUGGGGGAUAACGUAGGGAAACUUACGCUAAUACCGCAUACGACCUACGGGUGAAAGCAGGGGAUCUUCGGACCUUGCGCGAUUGAAUGAGGCGAUGUCGGAUUAGCUAGUUGGCGGGGUAAAGGCCCACCAUGGCGACGAUCCGUAGCUGGUCUGAGAGGAUGAUCAGCCACACUGGAACUGAGACACGGUCCAGACUCCUACGGGAGGCAGCAGUGGGGAAUAUUGGACAAUGGGCGCAAGCCUGAUCCAGCCAUACCGCGUGGGUGAAGAAGGCCUUCGGGUUGUAAAGCCCUUUUGUUGGGAAAGAAAAGCAGCAGGUUAAUACCCCGCUGUUCUGACGGUACCCAAAGAAUAAGCACCGGCUAACUUCGUG